ACGCACGCUGGCGGCGUGCUUAACCCCUGCCAGUCGCACGGAAAGGCCCUGCUUUUGUGGGGUGCUCGAGUGGCGAACGGGUGAGUAACACGUGAGUAACCUGCCCUUGACUUUGGGAUAACUUCAGGGAACUGGGGCUAAUACCGGAUAGGAGCUCCUGCUGCAUGGUGGGGGUUGGAAAGUUUCGGCGGUUGGGGAUGGACUCGCGGCUUAUCAGCUUGUUGGUGGGGUAGUGGCUUACCAAGGCUUUGACGGGUAGCCGGCCUGAGAGGGUGACCGGCCACAUUGGGACUGAGGUACGGCCCAGACUCCUACGGGAGGCAACAGGGGGGAAUAUUGCACAAUGGGCGGAAGCCUGAUGCAGCAACGCCGCGUGCGGGAUGACGGCCUUCGGGUUGUAAACCGCUUUCGCCUGUGACGAAGCGUGAGUGACGGUAAUGGGUAAAGAAGCACCGGCUAACUACGUG
RNAcentral lists this ribosomal RNA (467 nucleotides) under uncultured bacterium. Its description in RNAcentral is "partial 16S ribosomal RNA". It matches the Rfam family "Bacterial small subunit ribosomal RNA", at positions 29 to 507 of the family's 1533-position model. The record is from RNAcentral.